RNAcentral lists this long non-coding RNA (1698 nucleotides) under Homo sapiens (human). Its description in RNAcentral is "HSALNT0274424". Lineage: Eukaryota; Metazoa; Chordata; Mammalia; Primates; Hominidae. The record is from RNAcentral.
GUCAGUCCUGACUGAGACCUGCUCCCAGGGCAGGACUCUGGGCUUCAGGAGCGUGGUCCUGAGCCGCAGGGACAUGGUGGCUGGUCUGCAACAGGCUUCCCAUCCCGUGGACAUGUGGACACUCCAGAGCCCUGGAAUUUCAGCAACAUCAGCCAACGGCCACAGGGACAACCACAGUAAAGCCAGCCUGCCAGCAGAAAAGUAACAGACUGAGCUAAAAUCACCUCUGGAACUUCCUGUCUACCUGGACACCUGUCUACAGGGCCUGAGAGAGGAACUGACACUUUCUCCUCCAGCAGAGCCAUGUCAGGAAGGAGCCUCUCCGGCAAAGGCUGCCCAGGCCCACCCGGACUCCACUCAGAGCCUGAGCCCUUGGUUCCCGUGAAGCUCUGAGGGCAGUCUCAAGACAUGGCUUUGAGCAAACUACAGAUGUGCUUCCUUUCAUCUUGAAAUCCAGCCUGGGAGCAAGCUGUGAGCCUACUGCCUUCCCUCUCCCACCUGCAGCUCCCGGGCCCUGUGCACAUUUGUUUAUCUGGAUGCUUGCUGAGUGCACACCAUGCUCACCUGUCUGGUCAUCUAUUUCCUAGAAGCUUUGGGGGCCAGAUCCUGGGACGAACCAGGCAUCUCCAGAAUUCCUUCCCCAGCAGGCGGGUUACUUUGAGGCCAGAGCUUACUCCUGGCUAAAGACUCACUGCAAGAUUGACUGUGAUUGAUUUCUAAUCUGGGGGCGACCCGCGAUGGCGCAGCCCCUUCACCAGAUGUGUUUGUGGUGGAAGUUAUCCAAGUGACACGGCACCAAAACCUGUGAUCGGUGGCAAAUCCGUACAGGUCUGCGGCAGCCGCAAUUCUCACCUCCUCAGAAGAAAGAAUUCGACCAAGGGGCAGAAGGCAGAAGAAGAGACCGAGACAAGUUUUAGAGCAGGAGUGACAUUUAUUAAAAAGCUUUAGAGCAGGAAUGAAAGGAAGGAAAGGACGCUUGGAAGGGGGCCAAGCAGGUGACUUGAAGGACAGGUGUGUGGUUUGACCUUCGACUUGGGGUUUUAUAUGUUGGCACGCUUCCGGGGUCUGGCCUGCCUUCUCCCCUGAUUCUUCCCUUGGGGUGGGCUGUCCACAUGUGCAGUGGCUGCCAGCCCUUGGGAGGAGCACGCGCUAUGUGUUUACUGGAGUUGCGCGCCUGCUUACCUGAGGCGUUGUUCCCUUACCUGUCAAAUGUCCCUAGGAGGCCAUAGACCAGUUACACUCCACAAUUUUGCCUUUUAAUACACAUGCUUGAGCCCACUCACCCAAUGCCUGAGGUCUUAUGGGGAAGGAUUUUUCUGUCUGUUGGGAGGCUGCCUUUCCCUGGCGUUGGCUGUGACCAAUUAUUAUUUUAGAGAGACAGUUAACAGCCACCCGACCAACACUGAUGGUCGCCUGACAUUCCUGGUUGGGAGGGCCCUCUCCUGCCCUGCUCAUGUCUGACCAGCUGCCUACUGUAACAGAUGGAACAAUAACUCAAGAGAAGCCAUCAGAGCAGGUCACCUGGCACCUCCUGGCCCCUGCCUCGCCUGCAUUCCAGACCCCCUCUACACGUCCCUCUACAAAUUGAAGAGUGGCCAUUUUUGGAAAGGAUUCCGGCCAAUCUCCCCCUUGCUAGCAUGAGAAUGAAGCUCACGCUCUUUCUUUUUUCUUUCUUUUCUUUUUUUUUUUGAGACGGAG